This 756-nucleotide long non-coding RNA is filed under the name Fukomys damarensis (Damara mole-rat). Its description in RNAcentral is "lncRNA (ENSFDAG00000025144.1)". The record is from RNAcentral. Lineage: Eukaryota; Metazoa; Chordata; Mammalia; Rodentia; Bathyergidae.
UAUGCAGUGAUGUCACCGUAUAGUCAGUCAUGCUGAUCAGGAAAGAAACGAUGGGACCGAUCUCCAUUUGACCACCAUCUUCCCACCGAUGCUGAGCCACUGCCCAUUGCUACAUCAGUGGGUCAUGUCCACCAGCUGUGAGAGCAAAAUAUUCCAGCAGUCCACAGCAGAGUCUAGAGGAUCCAGGAGAUGAAGAACAGACUCCAAAUCUAAUCAGAGGGCCAAAGGGUUUGGUGAUACUCACAUGGCAAGAGGACCAUGCAGUGCCCUAUGGACUUGGAAGAUAAACAAGCAAGGAGGAAACCAGCAAACCUGUUACUCUCCUCUGUGUUCUGGGGCCAUAGUCAUACAUGCAACUCCAUUCUGAACAGUCUGCUGGGCAGGAAUGGAGGAAUCCUCAGCGAAGUCCUAGGUUAAGAUCACAGACUACAAAAUCCAGCAGGACACAGAUGCUGCCCUUGAAGAUCUGUUCACAUUUUACUGAGGAAAAAAUAAACCCAAGAAGUAAUAGCUAUGGAUUUUGUGAUAAGCAAUAUGUUCAAAAACCAUCAAGGUGCUACAGGGGCAAAAGAUGCUGACAUUCGAACAGGGAGGAAGUAAGCAGUUAGGAUGGUCCUAAUAAAUUACCUGCACACAUUCUGACAUGGAAGCAAAUAUGAUGGUAAUAUUUUGGUGAAUAGACAUUAAACUGUGGCUCAUGCAGAUGAUGGAAUCAGCAUUUGGUGGGUUUAGGCAGGAGAUAAUACUAAAGAAGCA